RNAcentral lists this long non-coding RNA (4776 nucleotides) under Sus scrofa (pig). RNAcentral's name for it is "lncRNA (ENSSSCG00000057903.1)". Lineage: Eukaryota; Metazoa; Chordata; Mammalia; Artiodactyla; Suidae. The record is from RNAcentral.
ACCCCAACUACCCUCUUCGUCCAUACUGUUUCAGCUGAAGACACCAAAUAUGAAUUUCAAAUUCAGAAUUCCUUGUUACCAAACCCUGCUGUUGUCUUAUACUUCAAAUUCAUGACCAAACAGCAGGUGUUUGAAAAGCCUCAUCCCAGUUAAAAAAAAAAAAAAGGCCCUUUAAGAAAAUGCCUGUUCUUUAUCUUGUGUGGUUCAGAGGGGGUGCUCCGUUCCAUAUUCCUUAUGAGUGCUGUUCCCCUGGGGUCUGCUGACAGCGGCCGUGUAACCCAGAGGUACAAGUCCAGGCAUCAGACGAAAGCCUUGUGUGUUUUUUAGUUAUUACACAUGGACAUGCAGAGCCUGCUUUCCUGAAAGCCCGGGAGUGAUCCCAUGCAGAUUCAGAGGCUUUUCUUCUCACAAGCACACAUGUGCGUGCACGCACACUCUCUCUCACACACCCACACACACCCCCUCCUCACCCUCACCUGAUCCUGCAGCAGCCUUCGCCCAGCCGUACUUUCUGCAUGGCCUUAGUGAGCGGAGUUCUGUUUCUGCUCCUUUGGGGACUCCUUCAGAAAGUGGUAGUGAACAUUCUCUACAUGUUACCAAAACGGCCUGUUAGUCAAAGCUGGCAGUUUUGUUCUCUGGGUAUAAGCUAAGAGAUUGAGCCCCACGUAUCUAGAGUUGAAUAGUAAUAAUAACCUUUUGUCAAGCCUUAUCUUUAAAGGUAUGCUAUUAUCCCUGUUUUAUAAAUGAGAAAACAGAGGCUUACAGAGACGAAUGUCAUGGCAAAGGCUCGCAGCAGGAAAAGGGGGUUUGCACAGGCAGUACUGUUCCAGAGCCUGCACUCUGAGUUGUGCCAUGAAUCCAGAACUUCCCUAUGCCUGAGCUAAUCAGUCCUAGGGAAAUUAGGGACUCAGAAAGAGCCAGUAACUGAUUUAAGUCAUUAGUGACUAUUUAGAGUUAGGUUCACAUUCGUUUCCUAGAAAAGAUGCCAACUGAUUUACAAGAAGAGAGACAACUGUUGGCUUAGAGAGCUGCAGAAAACCUCUAGAAGGAGAGACUGUAAACGGCAGAUUUACAAGGCAAAUUACUUACUAGGUUGGCAAUAGAAAGUGCAUUAAACACUCCAAAAUUGAACCAAUAGCGGAUGGGAAACCAGAAAUCACCAUUGCUGUCCAUCUGGAUUCCCAGGCAGGGCCUUUGUUGAGAAGGGCCCUAUGCUUGGUUUAAUGUUCUAUGAUAGUCUUGAAAUUCUUAAUAUAAUUUUAUCUUUGACCUUGUGUUUUGUGAUGAGGCUGAUGGGCCAGCGUGAUACCCAUGCAGGCAGCAGAGAUGUGCCAGGCAGCAGGGCACAGUCAUGGGUGGUUGGGGGCCAGCAGGCAGCAUAGGCUCAUUGCAGUUGGCCCAGGACUUCCAUGCAUGACUUGGGCAGUUCAGGGUUCCUGAGGGUGUGGCCAGGACAGGACCUGGAGCCACUUCGUUGGUGGCAGCAGCAGCAGCAGCAUCAGUGACAGCAAAAGCAACUCUACAAGUUAGAGGAAAUGUCAGCGGAAACAUUAAAAUAACACUGUAUAAAUCCACUUUUAAAGUGAACCACAGACUAUAUGAAACGCAUUUGUACAGAGAGUAAAAUCUUUUCAAAAAAUUAUUCCUCAACCAUUACUGGUCCUAAAUGUAAUAAAAUUUAUAUUUUGAUAAAAUUUAUCAGAAAUUUAUCUCAACAUAAUAUUUUUAAAGAACCCCAACAAGGUUGUCACAGACUAUAAACUACUUUUUGUUUUGUUUUGGGUUUUUGUUUUUGCUUUUUAGGGCCACAUAUGGAAGUUCCCAGGCCAGGGGUCGAAUCAGAUCUACAGCUGCCAGCCUACACCGCAGACAUAGCAAUGUGGAAUCCAAGCUGCAUCUGAGACCUACACCACAGCUCACGGCAAUGCUGGAUCCUGGACCCACUGAGCGAGGCCAGGGAUCAAACCAGAAUCCUCGUGGAUACUGGUCGGAUUGAUUUCCGCUGUGCCUCCAGGGGAACUCCCCAUAAACUACUUUUAAUAGCCUCAAUCACAAUUGCACAUGCAGAAAGCAUCUUCUCAAAAUUGAAAAUUAUCAAAGACUUUAUAAUCUUGCAUUUGCAAGAACCACCAGUAUUGCUUUCAAUUAUAUUUACUAAAAAUUAAGUUACUUAAAGUAUGUAUUUUGAUGAUCUACUAAAACAUUUUGCAAAAAAGUGAUCCAGAAAAAAAUUUUAUGAUUAAUCAAGAUACCGCAUUAGUAAAGUAUUAUCAUUUAUUACAUAGGAUUUUGACACCAAAAUAUUAUUUGCAAAUUCUAAGUUUAUGUUGUUUCCCAUGUAUCACUGUCACCCCUAUUACUCUUUUGAAAGUAACAAAAUAUUCCUAAAAGGAAAGAUCUUUAUAUUUUAGUACUUUAAUAGCACUCUUUCCUGCUUUUUCAAAAAGUAGUUUUCAUUGUCAUUUUGCACUGGGUCCUUCGAGUAUCCAGCCCUGCUCCCAGAAGAAGAAGUGAUAUCGUAGAAGAACAAGGAAGGUGAGGUUUUCCGCCAAGAGUCCAAGCUCCCUUUUAUCCUGAUGAAAAGUACAGCCCAAAGCAGAGGGAACGGCCAGCUCAGGGUUGGGGUGAGCGUGAGUCAGAGGGAUCAGGUCAACCUUCCAGUGUCUAGGGGCAAAGCUGAGUUUAGAGGCAGCCUCUGCUUUUUUCCUGGUUGUCAGAGCAGCGUAUCAGGUGCUGAAGGAUGUUAAGAAGAAGAAAACUCGAGGAGAAUGGAUUGGGUUUUUCCCUUAGUCACAACUGUUAUAAAAAUUGCUGGUAUAUUUCAUGUUUGCUUUUAUUUUUCCAGCUUUGCCUUUUAUUGCAAUGGGACCUUUACAAACUACCCAAGGCUUCCAUUCUUCAUUUUCUCAUAUGUGGCGGUGAAGGGGGUGAUGACAGCUGAUGCAUUUUGGUGACACUGCUUUGAUUCAUGCUAAGGAAGCAGCAGUUUUACCUACCAUUGCUUUUGUGCUGUCAGAGCAAAUGUCAACACAGCAGAAAAGACACAUCCCAUGUUAGCAUUAUUAUGAAAGCGUUUUGAUCUUAUAGGUCCCCUGCAAGAGUCUCAGGACCUCCAGAGCUCUGCAGACCACACUUUGAGAACCAUGACUCCCUGGUGUCAUCUGAAGACCUCCAGCUGCUGGUCCUGAGCUCCAGCAUUCAGGGGAGGCCAGGAGCCCAAGAGAGGAAAAUAAGGACAAGCCUUAAAGUGAAAGAAUUAAAACUUGAACCCAAAUACAGAAAUAUGUAAGAGUAGUCUGACAUAUUUUUUAAAGACUUUCUGCAUGAUUUUUGAACUAAGAGCACUAGUGAAUGAAUUGAAGGGGAGCAGGAGAUCGGUGUUGGGACUUGCAUUAGUGGCCUAGAAACUCAACUGGACAUAAUAUUUUAAAACAUAGAGCAAAAUAAAUAACGAGAAAACAAUCAUGAGGGGAAAAGAGUUUGGGAGGAUAUAUAUGAAAAAACUAACAUGUGAACAAAAGAAGAUCCAGAGAGGAGAAAAGGAACUGAUGAAGAAAAGGCAAUGCUUAAAGAAGAAAAUGUCCCAAGAUUAAGAAGGACCUAAUGUGUAAAUUGUAACUAUUCACCAAAUUCUAAGCAGAAGGGAUGAGAAAGUCGUCAGAGCUAGUCUGGAAAAUUUAUAAACUCCGAGAACAAAGGGCGCCAUGACUAACUUCUAGACGGAAAUAACCAGCUACUUUAAGAAUCAGACUGCCAUAUGGCAUGUUUUUUGUUACUGUUUUUGUUUUUGUUUUUCCCCUGCCUGGCCAUAUCUGCAGCAUAUGGAAGUUCCUGGGCCAGGGGUUGAAUCAGAGCUGCAGCUGCAGGCCUACCCCACAGCCACAGCAACGUGGGAUCUGAGAAACGACUGUGACCUAUACACCACAGCUCAGGGCAACGCUGGAUCCUUAAUCCACUGAAUGAGGCUGGGAAUUGAACCCACAUCCUCCCGGAGACUACGUCAGGUUCUUAAUCCACUGAGCCUCAGAGGGAACUCCCUGUGCAGGGUUUUAUAUGCAACACCUUAAUGGGACGGUGUUGGAAUUGCGUCUGACUGUGGAGGGAAAAUGACCGUAGCCUGUGUCCUGUAUCCACCUAUGACGUCAUUCCCUUUCCAAAUGGGGGCGUGUGAUGCGCUGUGAACCGGAGAGUACAUCACUCGUGCAUACUGGUUCCAGAGGAAAGGACGAGAGGGAAGACUCUGUAACAACUGUACCAGAAUCAACCUACCACCAUCCUCUUCGUGGAGACAGCGAGACAUGAGGAGGAGAAGCCGCAAUUCUCAGCAAGGCAUAUGCAGUUAAAUCCAGGUGGACGGGGUAGACCAGGAGUCUCUGUUAGCUACCGCCAAGAAAGAUUAUUAACAUAGAGGGUAUGUGGAAGGGUCAUUCUAAUAAUAAUCUGGAACUGAAAGUGUGAAGCUAUCUCAGAGAAAUCUAGAAGUUAGGGGUGAAUGGGGAGAAAAGCAAUGAAGCAAAGCAUUUCAAAGAUUGUAUCUUGGACCAGGUAAGGGCAGAAUUGAGACUAGGAGUGAAAAUAUUCUAAAAGACUGACCUUAUUAGUGUGGAGUGUCUUAGUGAAGGACACAAAUUGUGUCUUUAAAGUUAUAGAAAUGUGUUUUGUUAUAAGUCCCUAGAGAGGAGAGGCAAACAUUUAUCAGAUGGAAAGUUACAGAGAAAUAGCACUUGUUAAAGGAAAAAAGAAAGUGAAAAGAAACUUAUGAAAACCCAGCAAAAA